This 240-nucleotide ribosomal RNA is filed under the name uncultured bacterium. RNAcentral's name for it is "partial 16S ribosomal RNA". It matches the Rfam family "Bacterial small subunit ribosomal RNA", at positions 524 to 764 of the family's 1533-position model. The record is from RNAcentral.
UACGUAGGUGGCAAGCGUUAUCCGGAAUUAUUGGGCGUAAAGAGGGAGCAGGCGGCAGCAAGGGUCUGUGGUGAAAGACUGAAGCUUAACUUCAGUAAGCCAUAGAAACCGGGCAGCUGGAGUGCAGGAGAGGAUCGUGGAAUUCCAUGUGUAGCGGUGAAAUGCGUAGAUAUAUGGAGGAACACCAGUGGCGAAGGCGACGAUCUGGCCUGUAACUGACGCUCAGUCCCGAAAGCGUGG